GCUAGAAUAGCUCAGUUGGUUAGAGCAUGUGGCUGUUAACCACAAGGUCGGAGGUUCAAGCCCUCCUUUUAGCG
Molecule: transfer RNA, 74 nt
Filed under: Ipomoea nil (Japanese morning glory)
Lineage: Eukaryota; Viridiplantae; Streptophyta; Magnoliopsida; Solanales; Convolvulaceae
Rfam family: tRNA
About the family: Transfer RNA (tRNA) molecules are approximately 80 nucleotides in length.
Source: Rfam by way of RNAcentral